RNAcentral lists this long non-coding RNA (1180 nucleotides) under Fukomys damarensis (Damara mole-rat). RNAcentral describes it as "lncRNA (ENSFDAG00000032959.1)". The record is from RNAcentral. Lineage: Eukaryota; Metazoa; Chordata; Mammalia; Rodentia; Bathyergidae.
CACUACUUGGCAGGGGUCCCUGUGCUGUGUUGGCACGUGGGGAUGGGGAACCUCCUACCGAGAACCUAAUUUGUCAACACCCUGGGCUCAGAGGAGAAAAACAGAAGCCGGGGUCUCGUUAGCUUUGAACGCCCACAGUCCCUUGCAUCCGAGUGGCUGCUGCGACUCAGGCGCGGCCUGUGUAAAUAGCGCCGGAUGGGAUUGUAGCUAAUAGGGUUAUUAAUACCUGUCACAUCCCAGGAUGGCAGAAUAAUGUGGAGGUUUUCUACUAUAGAUUAAAACCAACCAACAGGGAAUUUUCCUGAGUCUGGCAGUCACAGCUUUCUCUUCAGACAACUUUUCCUCCAGCCAUGCAGACGGGGUGGACAGAAUAAGAGGGCAGAGAGCUGAGGCGAGAAGGGGACAGCAUGUGGACUCCAGGGUUCUGCAGGUGCCUGGAGCCUGGGACAGAAGUGGAACCACCCAAGCUGGUGACUGUGCUGCUCCCUCCCGCCACAAGUGCCUGAGGUGUGGUCCUAUCUCUUCGCUUUCACUGAGGUACCCACACGGCCAAGGAGAAGGCCCUGCUGGGGAACUGGACCCUCACGACAUAAGCCACUCUGCCACACCUCACUGGAUGAGCCUCCACAGAGAAGCACUCCAGACUGUCAAUGUCCCAGUCUUGGAAGACCAGUCCCAACUACAAACAGGAUAACGCUAGCAUGCCUCUGCUUCAGUAUUGAGUUAGUCUCUUCCUGCCUCCUGUCACCCUAUUUGUACUCCACAUGUCAAGCCAGAGAGUUUCCUCCAAUGCUGAGGAGUUCCAGAGGCCGAGUUUCCUACCUGAUGCUCCACCAGCGACAGUGUGUUCAUGAAGCGAGCCAAGAUCCCAGUAGCACUCUCUCCUGCAGGUGUGUGGCCUGCUACUUUCCAUUCUUCUUGUGAGCUUUUGAAGAUUGUUGGCCAGGUGUUGGAAUAGACACCCUGGAUAACACUCAGAUGUGCUCUUCCAUAACACUAUUCCAUAGAUUACAAGUGCAACAAAGGCAAAGACUUUUGUCUAGUUCAUUCAUUGAUAUAUGCCACACAACUGGGAUAUUAGAAUAGUUACUGGCACAAAGCAGGUGCUUGGUAAGUACUCACUGACUAUCCUACCUCCUGCCUUAAUCUUUUGGUUUCUCCUUACCUUCUAACACAGGCU